GAUGAACGCUAGCGGCAGGCCUAAUACAUGCAAGUCGAACGGGAUCUGAGGGUAGCUUGCUACCCGAUUUGAGAGUGGCGCACGGGUGCGUAACGCGUGAGCAACCUACCCAUAUCAGGGGGAUAGCCCGAAGAAAUUCGGAUUAACACCGCAUAAUAAUACGCUAACACAUGUUGAUGUAUUUAAAUAUUUAUAGGAUAUGGGUGGGCUCGCGUGACAUUAGCUAGUUGGUAAGGUAACGGCUUACCAAGGCGACGAUGACUAGGGGCUCUGAGAGGAGAAUCCCCCAAACAGGUACUGGGACACGGACAAGACUCAUACGGGAGGCAGCAGUGAGGAAUAUUGGUCAAUGGGCGCAAGCCUGAACCAGCCAUGCCGCGUGCAGGAUGACUGCCCUAUGGGUUGUAAACUGCUUUUGUUAGGGAAUAAACCUUCUUACGUGUAAGGAGCUGAAUGUACCUAAAGAAUAAGGAUCGGCUAACUCCGUGCCAGCAGCCGCCGUAA
RNAcentral lists this ribosomal RNA (504 nucleotides) under uncultured bacterium. RNAcentral describes it as "partial 16S ribosomal RNA". It matches the Rfam family "Bacterial small subunit ribosomal RNA", at positions 28 to 523 of the family's 1533-position model. The record is from RNAcentral.